RNA transcript from Carya illinoinensis, 1665 nucleotides. It is a transcript of the gene named transcription factor PHYTOCHROME INTERACTING FACTOR-LIKE 13-like, with no coding region annotated. The record is from RefSeq and is a predicted model, not a curated record. Lineage: Eukaryota; Viridiplantae; Streptophyta; Magnoliopsida; Fagales; Juglandaceae. The transcript is spliced from 6 exons.
UGGAGGUUAGGUUGGAUGAGGCGGUGAAGAGUACGACCUCUUUGACUUCUACACCUUGCGCUGACGAACUACACGUGUUCAUUCAAUGAAAAAGAUUGACAGAAAAUCCAAUAAAAAAACCCACAUGCAAUCUUUCUUGUUAUGGUGAUUAGGGCGGGAGAGUAAUCAAGAUUCAAAAACCUCCAUUAGAGAAGUUUAAACAGUCUUAAAUGGAGCUAAGAAAGAAAGAAGAAAAAGUUCAGAAUAAAGCCAAAAGGGUAUGUAUGAUCAGAGACGGUUUUUCUGUCACCCAAGGGAGAUGCGGACAAGCAACGUAGCCCCCGAUUAUUCUUCUUCCUUUUCCAUGGCUGAUAUGUACGAAGCAGCCCCAUCUUCGGUCACGGGUGGCGCCCCCGUGUCCGAAGAAAUGUCUGUGUCUCCCUUUCUCGACCAGUUCUUGCACCACAGCUUGUCCUCUACUUCGAAGACCAAGUACGGGCAUUUACACCAUUUACCGCAACUCCCACAACCACCCGGAGGAUUUUUCUCUGGGGAGAAUUGUCGGGGGUUCAUCCAAUCGGCUAAACGGUACGAGUCGGAGUCGGAGAGCCGAGUCCGAGACCGAAACUCGGGUGCCGCUGUUGAAUCUUCGUACGGCGUCAAUGUCUCCGAUCCCGGCGGUUAUUUCACGGCCGACGCGAAAGAGAGCGAUGAAAAGACGUUUUCUUCUGCUGGCGUUGUGGAUUCUAAUGCGAAGGAAAGGAGAGUUUCGUUUGAGAAUUAUCUCGGCGAGUUGAGUUGUGAUAGCGAGAAGGUUGCAGGCGGAUCAGAAGUAAAUGCCAAGCCAGUCCCACUUCGUUCUUCAUCGAAGAGGAGCAGAGUUGCUGAAGUCCAUAAUUUAUCAGAAAAGAGGAGGAGGGGUAAGAUUAAUGAGAAAAUGAAAGCCUUACAGAACCUAAUUCCAAAUUCUAACAAGACUGAUAAGGCUUCAAUGCUGGAUGAAGCGAUCGAUUAUUUGAAGCAACUUCAGCUUCAGGUACAGAAGAUUUUUUUGCUCAAGGAUAAAAGCAUGAGAGUUCCAGCUAGGAACUGUGGAACAUGCAAACUAGUUACCAUCAUUUUCGUGACAUCUCGUAGGACUGGAUUUUUUUAUGCUCUACAAAGCUCGAGAUUUGGCAAAAUUGGACCAUCCUCGGAUCAGAUUACCAUUGUACAAGGCCUUCUCUUGAUCUUAAUCACCCAUCAUUUAUUGUUUUCUAUUGGGACACUACAACAGUUGUGGUUAAGGAAUUUCGACAGAUUCUAACCAAUGUUGGACAAGCCGCUUCAAUUUACAAGUCAUGGUGAGGACACCAGAGAAUUAUAAAGUUAUGAGAGGCAAUCGUACACUGUCAUUAAGACGUACAGAGGGCAUAAUGAUGGACAAGUUUCAUUUGGUGAACUUGUUUGGGCUGAAGAAAAUGCAAAACACACCAUGAGGAGCCCCAUUGUUGUCUCACCAACGUUUCAUGCAAGAGACUCUAGUUUGUGUUACUCUUAAAUUAAAUUUAUAGAUGCUAUCGAUGAGAAACAGAUUGAGUCUGCACCCGAUGUGCUUACCGGGAGUACAGCAGCCUGCACAGUUGCCUCGAACGGGAAUGAGCAGCUUCGGUGAAGGAAAUGGAUAUCUGAAUUCAAGCAGUGGAA